This 303-nucleotide ribosomal RNA is filed under the name Triticum aestivum (bread wheat). Its description in RNAcentral is "partial small subunit ribosomal RNA". The record is from RNAcentral. Lineage: Eukaryota; Viridiplantae; Streptophyta; Magnoliopsida; Poales; Poaceae.
AUGAUAGCAGAAUUUUGGUUCCGGCAACAUUCUGAAAAUUUUGCGUGCUCUGAAUGUGAACUGCAACUAGUGAGAUGGUUUCAUGGCGUGGCUCCUUUUUAUCUUGAGAUGGAUUCAUGGCACGUCUUGAAUCAAUGGCUUGCUUUGCUUAAUCAUUCUACCUGCUGUAAACAAGUAAAGAAAAAAAAGGGUAAUCAUGCCAUCUGUUUCGCCCACAUGUGGUUGCUGCCUCGAGCUGGUUUGCGAGUAAUGCGUCCGGCGGUAAAUGUUUGUUUUCCGAACGGCCAAAACCGUGUUAAUUGA